RNAcentral lists this ribosomal RNA (432 nucleotides) under uncultured bacterium. RNAcentral's name for it is "partial 16S ribosomal RNA". It matches the Rfam family "Bacterial small subunit ribosomal RNA", at positions 29 to 507 of the family's 1533-position model. The record is from RNAcentral.
AGCGAACGCUGGCGGCAGGCCUAACACAUGCAAGUCGAACGAACUCUUCGGAGUUAGUGGCGGACGGGUGAGUAACACGUGGGAACGUGCCUUUUGGUUCGGAAUAACUCAGGGAAACUUGUGCUAAUACCGAAUGUGCCCUUCGGGGGAAAGAUUUAUCGCCAUUAGAGCGGCCCGCGUCUGAUUAGCUAGUUGGUGAGGUAACGGCUCACCAAGGCGACGAUCAGUAGCUGGUCUGAGAGGAUGACCAGCCACACUGGGACUGAGACACGGCCCAGACUCCUACGGGAGGCAGCAGUGGGGAAUCUUGCGCAAUGGCGAAAGCCUGACGCAGCCAUGCCGCGUGAAUGAUGAAGGUCUUAGGAUUGUAAAAUUCUUUCACCGGGGACGAUAAUGACGGUACCCGGAGAAGAAGCCCCGGCUAACUUCGUG